RNAcentral lists this unclassified non-coding RNA (390 nucleotides) under soil metagenome. RNAcentral's name for it is "partial contains 5.8S ribosomal RNA, internal transcribed spacer 2, and large subunit ribosomal RNA". The stretch from base 1 to 122 matches the Rfam family "5.8S ribosomal RNA", at positions 35 to 154 of the family's 154-position model. The record is from RNAcentral.
GAUGAAGAACGUAGCGAAAUGCGAUACUUGGUGUGAAUUGCAGAAUCCCGUGAACCAUCGAGUCUUUGAACGCAAGUUGCGCCCGAAGCCAUUAGGCCGAGGGCACGCCUGCCUGGGCGUCACACGUCGUUGCCCCCCCAUCUACUCCUUCGGGAUUGCGGGGGGCGGAUGAUGGCCUCCCGUGCGCCUCGCCGCGCGGUUGGCAUAAAUGCCAAGUCCUCGGCGACGCACGCCACGACAAUCGGUGGUUGCGAAACCUCGGUUGCCCGUCGUGUGCGGUCGUCGCGCAUCGAGGGCUCGAAAAAAUUGCCGGGUUCCGGCUCGGCUUUCAACGCGACCCCAGGUCAGGCGGGGUUACCCGCUGAAUUUAAGCAUAUCAAUAAGCGAGGA